AUUGAACGCUGGCGGCAGGCCUAACACAUGCAAGUCGAGCGAGCGGCGGACGGGUGAGUAAUGUAUGGGGACUGCCCGAUAGAGGGGGCUAACUACUGUAUACGGUGGCUAAUACCGCAUACUAUCGUAUUUCCCAUAUGGGAUUAGCUAGUAGUUGGGGUAAAGUCUCAAUUAGGUGACGAUCUCUAGCUGGUCUGAGAGGAUGAUCGGCCACACGGGGACUGAGACACGGCCCAGACUCCUACGGAGGCAGCAGUGGGGAAUAUUGCACAAUGGGCGCAAGCCUGAUGCAGCCAUGCCGCGUGUAUGAAGAAGGCCUUAGGGUUGUAAAGUACUUUCAGCGGGGAGGCGUUACCCGCAGAAGAAGCACCGGCUAACUCCGUGUCAGCCGCCGCGGUAAUAC
This 403-nucleotide ribosomal RNA is filed under the name uncultured bacterium. RNAcentral's name for it is "partial 16S ribosomal RNA". It matches the Rfam family "Bacterial small subunit ribosomal RNA", at positions 30 to 526 of the family's 1533-position model. The record is from RNAcentral.